AGAUUGAACGCUGGCGGCAUGCCUAACACAUGCAAGUCGAACGGGAGUAGCAAUACUCUAGUGGCGGACGGGUGAGGAAUACGUAGGAAUUUGCCCUUAAGUGGGGGAUAACCCGGGGAAACCCGGAUUAAUACCGCAUGACCUCGAAAGAGCAAAGUGGGGGAUCGCAAGACCUCACGCUUUUGGAGAAGCCUAUGUCGGAUUAGCUUGUUGGCGGGUAAAAGCCCACCAAGGCGACGAUCCGUAGCUGGUCUGAGAGGAUGAUCAGCCACACUGGAACUGAGACACGGUCCAGACUCCUACGGGAGCAGCAGGUGGGGAAUAGUUGGAC
Molecule: ribosomal RNA, 331 nt
Filed under: uncultured soil bacterium
Lineage: Bacteria
Description: bacterial SSU rRNA
Rfam family: Bacterial small subunit ribosomal RNA
Source: RNAcentral